AUUGAACGCUGGCGGCAUGCUUUACACAUGCAAGUCGAACGGCAGGCGCGGGGGCAACCCUGGCGGCGAGUGGCGAACGGGUGAGUAAUGCAUCGGAACGUAUCCUGUAAUGGGGGAUAACGUAGCGAAAGUUACGCUAAUACCGCAUACGCUCGAGAGAGGAAAGUGGGGGAUCGCAAGACCUCACGUUAUAGGAGCGGCCGAUGUCCGAUUAGCUAGUUGGUGGGGUAAAGGCCUACCAAGGCGACGAUCGGUAGCUGGUCUGAGAGGAUGAUCAGCCACACUGGGACUGAGACACGGCCCAGACUCCUACGGGAGGCAGCAGUGGGGAAUUUUGGACAAUGGGCGAAAGCCUGAUCCAGCCAUGCCGCGUGCGGGAAGAAGGCC
This 387-nucleotide ribosomal RNA is filed under the name uncultured bacterium. RNAcentral's name for it is "bacterial SSU rRNA". It matches the Rfam family "Bacterial small subunit ribosomal RNA", at positions 29 to 416 of the family's 1533-position model. The record is from RNAcentral.